GGCCAUGGGAAGGAAGCGAUAGCGAGCGCAACAACACCAACGGGCAAGAGGAGGAGGAGCAAAGGGAUGAGUAAAGCUUCUGUGUUGGCCUUGUCUCAGCUCGCUCUCACUCUGUCGGUACCGCUAAACCUCGAGGGGAACGGCGGGCUAAGUCAUCCGACCACCAUGCCGCAGGCCGACGGGGCGGGGGAGGCAGACGGCGUGGCCUCCUAAAAAAAAGACGAUAAUCUUUCGGUAUACAAUUCCUUUAGUUGGAGCAGUAACUCCAUACAAGAAAGAAGGUCUAGACAAGUCCGUCCUCUCUCUGCUCUCUGCUGUCCUCGACUACUUACGUAUCCUCCCCCACAAAUGGACACUAAAAAAACGAAGAGGUUGGUACAAGCACAGGAACUAGUACCUCCUUAGCGGGAGAGACCACCACGAAGAGACCCCAAUUUAAAUCAUGAAAGAGUCACCAUAAUGUCACAUUAAGAAGACACACAAAAUUCACCUUAAAUGUCACAUGAAAAUCACCUUAAUCUCACGUAAAAGUCACCCAAAUGUGACAUUAAUAAUCACCUUAAUGUCACCUUAAAUGUGACAUUUAGACACCCAAAUGUCACAUGAAAAUCACCUAAAAACGGGACAUAAACGUUCACCGUAAAAAUCACCUUAAUAUCACAUAAAAAUCACUUUAAUGACACGUAAAAGGUACCAUAAAUGUGACAUUAAUAAUCACCUUAGAUGUGACAUUCAGAAUCACCUAAAUGUCACAUGAAAAUCACCUAAAAACGAGACAUAAAACGUUCACCUUAAUGUCACAUAAAAAUCACCUUAAUGACACGUAAAAGGUACCAUAAAUGUAACAUUAAUAAUCA
This 857-nucleotide ribosomal RNA is filed under the name Triticum aestivum (bread wheat). Its description in RNAcentral is "partial small subunit ribosomal RNA". The record is from RNAcentral. Lineage: Eukaryota; Viridiplantae; Streptophyta; Magnoliopsida; Poales; Poaceae.